UAGCUCAGUCAGUUGAGCGUGGUGCUAACAACACCAAGGUCGCGGGUUCAAUUCCUGU
RNAcentral lists this transfer RNA (58 nucleotides) under Apaloderma vittatum (bar-tailed trogon). It matches the Rfam family "tRNA", at positions 8 to 63 of the family's 71-position model. From Rfam's summary of the family: Transfer RNA (tRNA) molecules are approximately 80 nucleotides in length. Their secondary structure includes four short double-helical elements and three loops (D, anti-codon, and T loops). Further hydrogen bonds mediate the characteristic L-shaped molecular structure. tRNAs have two regions of fundamental functional importance: the anti-codon, which is responsible for specific mRNA codon recognition, and the 3' end, to which the tRNAs corresponding amino acid is attached (by aminoacyl-tRNA synthetases). tRNAs cope with the degeneracy of the genetic code in two manners: having more than one tRNA (with a specific anti-codon) for a particular amino acid; and 'wobble' base-pairing, i.e. permitting non-standard base-pairing at the 3rd anti-codon position. The record is from Rfam by way of RNAcentral. Lineage: Eukaryota; Metazoa; Chordata; Aves; Trogoniformes; Trogonidae.